GACGAACGCUGGCGGGCGUGCCUAAUACAUGCAAGUAGAACGCUGAAGGAGGAGCUUGCUUCUCGGGAUGAGUUGCGAACGGGUGAGUAACGCGUAGGUAACCUGCCUGGUAGCGGGGGAUAACUAUUGGAAACGAUAGCUAAUACCGCAUAAGAGUAGAUGUUGCAUGACAUUUGCUUAAAAGGUGCAAUUGCAUCACUACCAGAUGGACCUGCGUUGUAUUAGCUAGUUGGUGGGGUAACGGCUCACCAAGGCGACGAUACAUAGCCGACCUGAGAGGGUGAUCGGCCACACUGGGACUGAGACACGGCCCAGACUCCUACGGGAGGCAGCAGUAGGGAAUCUUCGGCAAUGGACGGAAGUCUGACCGAGCAACGCCGCGUGAGUGAAGAAGGUUUUCGGAUCGUAAAGCUCUGUUGUAAGAGAAGAACGAGUGUGAGAGUGGAAAGUUCACACUGUGACGGUAUCUUACCAGAAAGGGACGGCUAACUACGUGCCAGCAGCCGCGGUAAUACGUAGGUCCCGAGCGUUGUCCGGAUUUAUUGGGCGUAAAGCGAGCGCAGGCGGUUAGAUAAGUCUGAAGUUAAAGGCUGUGGCUUAACCAUAGUACGCUUUGGAAACUGUUUAACUUGAGUGCAAGAGGGGAGAGUGGAAUUCCAUGUGUAGCGGUGAAAUGCGUAGAUAUAUGGAGGAACACCGGUGGCGAAAGCGGCUCUCUGGCUUGUAACUGACGCUGAGGCUCGAAAGCGUGGGGAGCAAACAGG
This 764-nucleotide ribosomal RNA is filed under the name uncultured Streptococcus sp. Its description in RNAcentral is "bacterial SSU rRNA". It matches the Rfam family "Bacterial small subunit ribosomal RNA", at positions 28 to 776 of the family's 1533-position model. Lineage: Bacteria; Bacillati; Bacillota; Bacilli; Lactobacillales; Streptococcaceae. The record is from RNAcentral.